AAGUCGUAACAAGGUUUCCGUAGGUGAACCUGCGGAAGGAUCAUUAACACGUAUCCAACGUUAAACAACCCUGUGAACUUUCAACCGCUCUUGUAGCCCACGCGGAACAGCAAUCCCGGUAAAUCAAUUGGAGGAAAGGUUUUGAUUCGGGACCUCUGUCCAUCAGGCUACAAUCGAGCUAGGAGCAGUGGCAUGGUUUCCCUAAGCAGUGCAGAAGGAUCCACUGAGUAAGGAUAACGUCGAUCACCGGCCGGCAGAAUGUCACAGGGCUGUAUGCCCCCUCAUUCACACCUUGCCCUAUCUGGCCCCACGGAAACGUUGGGGCACAAACCGAACAACUGUUAACAAUGGAUAUCUUGGUUCUC
This 365-nucleotide unclassified non-coding RNA is filed under the name fungal sp. RNAcentral describes it as "partial internal transcribed spacer region". The stretch from base 1 to 46 matches the Rfam family "Eukaryotic small subunit ribosomal RNA", at positions 1786 to 1831 of the family's 1831-position model. Lineage: Eukaryota; Fungi. The record is from RNAcentral.